GAUGAACGCUGGCGGCGUGCCUAAUACAUGCCAGUCGAACGAACAGACGAGGAGCUUGCUCCUCUGACGUUAUCGGCAGACGUGUGAGUAACACAUGGAUAACCUACCUAUGAGACUGGGAUAACUUCGGAAAACCGGAGCUAAUACCGUAUAAUAUAUUGAACCACAUGAUUCAAUAAUGAAAGACGAUUUUACUGUCACUUAUAGAUGCAUCCUCGCCGCAUUAUCUAGUUGGGAAGGUAACGGCUUACAAAGGCGACGAUGCGUAGCCGACCUGAGAGGUUGAUCGGCAAAAUUGGACUUGAGCCAAGGUCAAGCCUCCUACGGGAGGAAGAAGAAGGGAAUCUUCCGAAAUGGGCGAAAGCCUGACGGAGCAACGCCGCGUGAGUGAUGAAGGUCUUCGGAUCGUAAACCUCGGUUAUUAGGGAAGAACAAAUGUGUAAGUAAAUAUGCACGUUUUGACGGUACCUAACCAGAAAGCCACGGCUAACUACGUG
Molecule: ribosomal RNA, 497 nt
Filed under: uncultured bacterium
Lineage: Bacteria
Description: partial 16S ribosomal RNA
Rfam family: Bacterial small subunit ribosomal RNA
Source: RNAcentral